Aphis gossypii (cotton aphid) is the source of this 1660-nucleotide long non-coding RNA. RefSeq lists it as uncharacterized. Lineage: Eukaryota; Metazoa; Arthropoda; Insecta; Hemiptera; Aphididae. The record is from RefSeq and is a predicted model, not a curated record. The transcript is spliced from 7 exons.
CCUAGGUUAAACGCACUCACCUUUUGGUUUUUCUUUUUCAUUUGUUAUUUUUCUUAUUUUGCACUUAAUAACACCUCGUGCGCUCAAUAUAAUUUUUGUUGGUUCUCUUUUAUUUUGACUGUUAGUUUCAUUGUGUUCACUCUAACUUAAUAAAAGAAACAACAAAUUUCGCCCCGACGACCUGUGUUCAAUUUAUUUCUCCUCACACCGUUCUCAACCACAUUCCUGACGACGUAACAAGACCAGUUCAAUGGACGCCCAUGAGUGCUUGGAUGUUAGGCUGUUGUAUGAGACAAGUCUGACAGGAAGAUGUCAUCGGUGGUGCAUCGGUCAGCUCCUUUUCUGUUUCGCCGAUGAAGCUAAUUGCUGCCGGAGAGGUGUCAUCAUCACGGACGCGAUCGCUGUCCAUCGGUUCGUACAACUCGUUACGGCCUCCACACAGAGACUCGUCCGCCGACCCGUUUGCGUCUUCUUCGAUGUUCACUUGAGCGCCCACGGAACACUGAAAUUGUAAUAAAUCAAAAAUGAAAUUAUUAUUAUCGUUAUUAUUUUCGCGAUUUUUCUCUUGUAUUACUCAACAUAGCAUGUAAUAUACUGAUGGCAUUCCUACCAUUAAUUUUAUCAUUCUUGCAUGUUUCAUCCCCCGAUUAUAGUUUUUCUUAAUUAAUUUUAAACACGAGCUUUCUAAUGGUACAGAUAUUUGUAAUACAAAUAAAAUAAUACUUUUAUUUUUUGAAAAAUGCAAUUUUUUUAUAAUCCAUAGUAUCGAAAAUUGAAAAUAUAAUAUCUUAUAUUUUUCAUAGUAUAUUUUAGGUGUACAUAUACACAGUAUAAUUCCGUAAUAAGUGACUGAAGUUAAUUCAAAUAGAAAUUCGAUGCAAAUGUUCUUACGUAUUUAUCGUCAUGAAAUUUAAUUCCCUGCUAUCUCAGAAUGUUGUAUAAUCCAAGUCGGAUAAGCAUCUAAAAUGAAGUCACACAUCGAACUCAUGUUUUAAAACCUAUCGAUACCACAAUAACGGGAAACAACUAGAAAAUCAUGUCAAUCAUAAACGAGUGUGGUUGACGUGAGUAUAAAAUGUCACGUGACGCCGUAACCUGGUCCCUGGUAGUCAACUGGUAGACGUUCAUCAUAUGUGCCGAUUGCGCGUGCACCAUGAGAUCCCAAGCGCUAUCGAAUGAUUCUUUACACUGGACGCACACUAAAGAUAUGCAGCCUUCGUUCAAGUUUCCGGGCCAUUCUGCAGGACAAGAGAAACAAAUAUUUGUAUAGGAAAAACAUAUAUUAAGGCUUGAUUGAGUUGUUACACUUGCACGUGAACCUGAGCUUGCAGUAUUCCUUCUUGUGAUCCAACAAACCUUGCAGUUCAGUGAACAUCUCUCGACAGUUACCACAUAUCAGUAUGUCUGGAUUGCCUGAGAAAUAUCAAUAGGUUAAUACAGUUCUGUAUAGGUAUAAAUUAUUAUCACGUAUGUUUUCGAUUGCGCACUAAAAUUCAACUAUAAUCGAGAAAAACAAAUGAUCGAAAACACAAUAAUACGGAUAACUGGGAUAAAACGCCUUGACGAUUGAAAUAGGAAUAAAAUUAAAUCAUUAAAUUUGGUAUCUUGAACGAUUUCGUGACCUUCAUUAUGUACUGAGCAUACAUAACCAUAUUACAAG